UUGAACUCAAGGAACUGACUAUGGCCACUCUACCCUGAUCCUAAAAAGAGUUCAGUGCUUGAUUUUAGAGCACCACAAAACUUUAAAUGUUUUUGCACAAAGUUAAAUCACAAGAUUUACGAUAUGUUUAGUUAGUUACUCGGGUUCAGUUUCACUGUCAUGAAUCGAUUUAUCACAAUCUGAUAUAAUGUCUAGCAUCCUGACUUUAAAAUAUAAUUAUGUAUUUUCGAUUCAGGUGAAAGAGGCUUGCAGGAAAUUAUCUGAAGCAGAAGAACUAGCAAAAAGUCGCCUCAUCCAAAUGAAUUAUGAUCUUAACAUUCAUUGCAGAAUCUCAGUAAGUGCUAAAUAGCAUUUCAAGCCCUUGCAAUUCAGGCAUUGCAUCUUCUCCAAGGUUAACUAAGUGUAGUUGGGUCUUAUUUUUGCACAGGUUGGAGAGCGACCAAGAGUGAGAUUUGCCAACAAUGUCGAAAAAAGAAUAUUUCAUGGGUGAAUUCCAAGGACAAUUCUGAAGUAUAAGAAUGCAUAGGGAGAAAAUCACUAGACUAGACCCUUUAUGUGAUCAUAACUAGUUACUUCAUGAUUGUGCUUGUGUCUCAGGGAUAAAAUCCAACAUCCACAAUGAAUCAUGCAUGUGUCCUUAUCAGAAUGGUCUCAGUGUAAAUGCAAAGAUGUUACUGGAGUUGCAUCAUAGAACAUGAGCUUGUAAGCAUAUUUUUAUUUAUGGAAACACAAAAUAAAACAGUGAAUCUGUGUUUUAGAUUUACCCAUUUUAUCUGGAAGAAAAGAUUGACAAUCCCUCUGUUCUUCAUCUACUGCAAGCUCAAUCCUCAGAUGCGUCCGUUCAAGACAACUAAUUUUUGUGACAGGAGGAUCCAAUAACAUCAUGUGUAUACCUGACAUCUUUACAGAAUAGUGGGAAGUGAGAGCUGUAACAAACGUUCUCUCUGUUGCUUA
RNAcentral lists this long non-coding RNA (954 nucleotides) under Ricinus communis (castor bean). RNAcentral describes it as "long non-coding RNA (RCOM_LNC001010)". The record is from RNAcentral. Lineage: Eukaryota; Viridiplantae; Streptophyta; Magnoliopsida; Malpighiales; Euphorbiaceae.